UACAGAGGUGGCAAGCGUUGUUCGGAAUUACUGGGCGUAAAGGGCGCGUAGGCGGUUCGUUAAGUCCUGUGUGAAAUCCCCCGGCUCAACUGGGGAACUGCACAGGAAACUAGCGGGCUUGAGUUCGGGAGAGGGAAGCGGAAUUCCGGGUGUAGCGGUGAAAUGCGUAGAUAUCCGGAGGAACACCGGUGGCGAAGGCGGCUCCCUGGACAGACACUGACGCUGAGGCGCGAAAGCUAGGGGAGCAAACGGG
RNAcentral lists this ribosomal RNA (253 nucleotides) under uncultured bacterium. RNAcentral describes it as "partial 16S ribosomal RNA". It matches the Rfam family "Bacterial small subunit ribosomal RNA", at positions 524 to 776 of the family's 1533-position model. The record is from RNAcentral.